Molecule: long non-coding RNA, 406 nt
Organism: Drosophila novamexicana
Lineage: Eukaryota; Metazoa; Arthropoda; Insecta; Diptera; Drosophilidae
Exons: 3
Source: RefSeq, a predicted model, not a curated record
GGAGUGCACAAGUAGUAUACAGCGAAAUAUUUAAAAUGAGAACAUGCUAUUUUGUUUUUCGUGAAGCAUUAUGAACUUUAAUUCUGAUUGCUCGGCAAAUUCGAAGCUGGAAAAGAAGCGAACUUAACAAAACCUAGGAGUUGGCCAAGAAUUAAUCUGACCAAAGCAAAAACAAUGGGCAAACAACAAAUUGUCAGGCACGAAAUACCAAUUGUACUCAUAUAAGGGUGUAUAUGUUAUAGCCAUAGUGAAGUUCGGAUUGGCUAAAACAAGAAUUGUUUCUUUUUCAUGCAAGAACUCAAUUCAAGCUUUCUAGCUACAAGCUAUGGCCAAUAUAUCAAAAAAGUGUAUGCAACUUACUUUUUGACCCAGCCUACUCUGAUAAAUGUAUACAACAUUUUGAAAG